This 757-nucleotide long non-coding RNA is filed under the name Callithrix jacchus (white-tufted-ear marmoset). RNAcentral describes it as "lncRNA (ENSCJAG00000085929.1)". Lineage: Eukaryota; Metazoa; Chordata; Mammalia; Primates; Cebidae. The record is from RNAcentral.
AAGCAGCCUCAAAAGCAAAGUCUCUUUCUGACCUUCUCCUGCUCUCUUUCUCUCUUGAAGUGAGUGGUAGAAUUCCUCUUGCCUAAGGUGGGUCAUAGAAACUAGAACCCUCUUCCCCAAAGCAAGCCAUAAAACUUAGAUCACUCUUUUCUCUUCCCUCUUAAAGAACCGCAUUUCAGUGGGGUCCUGACCCAUAUCUGGGAGGAAGAAAUUCUACAGAAACCCAGAAGAAUCUGAACAGACAGCCUUACUAGAUUCUGGUACCCAGUGUGGGGUGACUGAAAUGAGCUUGGGACAACUGAUAAAAAAUCAACAACAACAACAGCAGGAACAUUUUUUUUUCAACCAAGGUCAUCUCUCCUGGAUCUCUGCCUAUAGUGCCCAAUUAAAAAUAGAAGGGAGAACAGAAUUGUACUGACUUCAGAAGUGAGAGAAGUAAAAUUCUUUAAAAAAAUGGUCAUUUCAUAAUUAAACUGAUGAACAAGGACAAUUUUACUUGAUGACUGUCAGAUCUGUAACCCCUAAUUUUAUUUUCAAUCAUUUUUGCGGGGUUAAGAAGCCACGAUCUACUCUGCACAUGUGAUAAGAUGCUCAAUAGUUUAAUUUAACUAUCUUUUCUCUUUUUAAGCAAAGAUAAUCAUGGAAAAACAGAGAUUAGUAUGUAUUCUGAUUUAUUUCAGACAAGCAGAAUAGAGUCAGCAUUAUCUUCUCAUGGCUUUCAAGCCAAUGACGUUCAUCUUCCUCAUGAAUUCUGGAC